UACGUAGGGUCCAAGCGUUGUCCGGAUUUAUUGGGCGUAAAGAGCUCGUAGGCGGUUCCGUAAGUCGGAUGUGAAAACUCGGGGCUCAACCCCGAGACGCCAUCCGAUACUGCGGUGACUUGAGUCUGGUAGGGGAACACGGAAUUCCUGGUGUAGCGGUGAAAUGCGCAGAUAUCAGGAGGAACGCCAAUGGUGAAAACAGGUAGCUGGGGCUGUACUGACACUGAGACACGAAAGCCAGGGGAGCAAACGGG
RNAcentral lists this ribosomal RNA (254 nucleotides) under uncultured bacterium. Its description in RNAcentral is "partial 16S ribosomal RNA". It matches the Rfam family "Bacterial small subunit ribosomal RNA", at positions 524 to 776 of the family's 1533-position model. The record is from RNAcentral.